This is a long non-coding RNA of Malus domestica (apple), 511 nucleotides long. RefSeq lists it as uncharacterized. The record is from RefSeq and is a predicted model, not a curated record. Lineage: Eukaryota; Viridiplantae; Streptophyta; Magnoliopsida; Rosales; Rosaceae.
ACGCCUAUAUAUAUUUGCGGCUCGAGUAGAUUCUCAAUUCUGCACAAUAUUUUUACAGAUGAACUUCGGCGGUCCAAAGUUUGAAACUGCGCUAUCAGUUGGAUUGUUGAAGGGUUUCUUGCUUGCUCCAUGUAAUUUGCUUAUUUUACUGCAUCCUAUCAUGUGUCCAUAAACGUACUUAUGUACGUAUGCUCAUGACCCUACUCUGAAUCUCAAGCUCUGAAUUUCCGGAGCUCAGCUGGGACAUGCAUAAGAUUUAUACCACACCUUCGGAAUAAUAACGACAGAAAUGUUGUUUUGAGAUGUAAUGUCAUGUACAUGGGGUAUAGGAACUGCAAUUUCCACGAACUUUCCUCUCUAUCUCUAUCAGGGGCAGAGUAGGCUUUUGGAGUAGCGAAAUGUGCAAUCGCAUAAUGUUAUAUACACUUUUGUUUAUUCACUGAACAAAAGAUACAUAUGAAUGUAAAUGUUGUUUCUAAACUCGAAUCGAACGCAUAAAAUUACACUCUAA